Molecule: ribosomal RNA, 296 nt
Filed under: uncultured bacterium
Lineage: Bacteria
Description: partial 16S ribosomal RNA
Rfam family: Bacterial small subunit ribosomal RNA
Source: RNAcentral
GGAUUAGAUACCCUGGUAGUCCACGCUGUAAACGAUGGGUACUAGGAUUGGUGGGUCUUGACCCCUGCUGAUCCGGAGCUAACGCACUAAGUACCCCGCCUGGGAAGUACGGUCGCAAGACUAAAACUCAAAGGAAUUGACGGGGGCCCGCACAAGCGGUGGAUCAUGUGGUUUAAUUCGAAGCAACGCGAAGAACCUUACCUGGGUUUGACAUCUCCGGACCGACGUAGAGAUACGUUUUUUGUAGCAAUACAACCGGAAGACAGGUGCUGCAUGGCUGUCGUCAGCUCGUGCCG